GGCUUAUUAGAAAACGCCGUGAGAAAUGCUAUAACCAGAAUGUGUUUCUUCUUUAAUGCCCUUUGCUCUAAAGUUAUUGCCGUAUCAAAGUUGGAGGUUAUUCAGUUAGAAAUUGUGAAGACUUUGUGCUUGUUCGAACAAUAUUUUCCUCCAUCUUUCUUUGAUAUAAUGGUUCAUUUGACAGUUCAUCUGGUUAGAGAAGUCACCCUUUCAAUAGGUUGAUGAAAGUUUACAAGGGUUAUGUACGAAAUUGAAAUCGUCCAGAGGGUUGUAUAGUUGAAUCUUAUAUAGCUGAAGAAGCAGUUGAAUUAUGUUCUAAGUAUAUGGUCGAUGUUGACUCAAUUGGAAUUCCAAUAAGGGCAAGAGAGGAAGUUGUAGAAAAUAAGGGUAUCAACAAUGGAAAACCUACUUUAAUGGAAAAAGAAGAUUGGGAGGUUGCUCGUCAAAAUAUCUUGGAGAAUACAGUUGAGGUUCAACCUUAUAUAGAGUAAGUACAUUAUUUAAAUUAAUUUUCUUAAAUUGAACAAAUAAUGUUAGUAAUUAUUAUGUUGUAGUAACAAUAUUAUUCAAUACAGAGAACAUUUGCAAUAUCUAAAUAAGAAAAAUCAAACAAAAUCUAGAAAGCAGAUUCAAGAUGAGUAUCAUCGUACUUUUUGACAUUGGUUUCUUGAUAAGGUGAUAUUUUACUUUAAAAUGACAACUCCAAUAUAAACUAUUUUUAAUGAUUGUUUGCAUAAAUGUAAUUAAGGUAUUAUUCAUUAAUGUAGAUUCAAAAAGAGUUGACCGAUGAGUUGCAUGAAGUUACCGAAACUUUGAGAUGGCUUUCAUUAGGUCUGACUCGAUUGGCAAUUAAGCACAAUGUGUUUAUAAUUAAUGGUUGUAGGUUUAACACUAAAGUUCGUGAUGAUGUUAGGGUCACCCAAAAUAGUGGUGUAAGUAUUGUAGCUCAAACCUUACAAGUCUCUAGUGCACGUGACAAGAACCCUAUAUAUGGUGAGAUGAAAUUUUAUGGUGUCAUCCAAGAAAUAUGGGAGCUUGAUUAUCGUGAAUUUAGGAUGCCGAUGUUCAAGUGUGAUUGGGUAGACAGCAAAAACGAUGUGGAGAAAGAAAAGUUAGGUCAUUAAAGUUGAUUUGAAUAAAAUAGGACAUAAAAAGGACUCAUUUAUAAUGGCAAGUCAAGCUAAACAAGUGUUUUAUGUUGAGGAUCCUACUUCAUCAAGAUGGUCAAUAGGGCUUGCUUCACAACCAAGAGACAAACAAAGUGCAUGAUGGAGAUCAACAACAUGACUUUGGUGAAUCCCUGAGUUUGAGGGAGUUGAAGCAACUGUUGGGCCAUAUGUACGAAAAUAUGGUGAUGGAAUUUGGAUAGAUCAUGGACCCAUUUGAUGAGCAUCUUGAGGAGUACCUAGAGGGUGAUGAUAGUAAGCUGAUGUUGAUUCCAUCGAUGAGAAUACUGAUGGUGGUUCUAUGGAUGUUGACCACGGGGAGGAGGAUAAUAAUAAAGAGAAAAAGAAGAGAAAAAGAAAAAACAUAAGCGGACACGAGGCAUAGUGCGAUUGACGAGGAUCAUAGCAGAUAAAAUUAAAGGAAUCAAACGCCAUUUGAGGUUCAAUAGCGGGGGGCAAUCAAUCGGGACCCCAAACAGAGAGCUUCAAUGUUAUUUAGGAAUGCAAGCCAAAAGUAUGGUGCCAAUUAACAUUGGCAAUUAGUGCAACGUUCCUAAAUCUAUAUUGGACAGCUUAUGGAAAGAUGUCAAUGUAAGACAUUUCACUAUGUUUUGAAAUAAAUUGAUGAGUUUUAUAUUUUCUUUUGCUUACAAAGUUUCUUAAACUA
This is a long non-coding RNA of Humulus lupulus (European hop), 1833 nucleotides long. RefSeq lists it as uncharacterized. NCBI's taxonomy places the organism in Eukaryota, Viridiplantae, Streptophyta, Magnoliopsida, Rosales, Cannabaceae. The transcript is spliced from 2 exons. The record is from RefSeq and is a predicted model, not a curated record.